AUAAUAAUUUCUCAUGGCAAAUGAUAGUCUGCUACCCUCGCAAGUUUUCUGUUUGUCGCCUUUGGUAUGUGUUUUUAGGUUUUUAAAGUCUUUUAUGUUUCUUGUUCUUUUCGUUUCUUCUGUAGCCAGCAUUCAAAAGUCAAAUUGAGCUCUCACAUACGCUGGCUAUCGCUGUUCUUUUGUCACUUGUUUUUCAAAUCUGCAGUCAUGGAUACUGAAUUAGCACACUUAAGGCUUAAUGAAGAAGAAGAGAUUUUGCAAUUACAGAUAGAUCCAGGGUCGGAUAAAGGAGAUGAGGAAUUUCAAGUAGUGGGAUGUUUUUUAACAGCCAGCGUUAUCCACUCUCCAGCAAUGAGAAGCACUAUGGCGAAUUUGUGGCAUCUGGUUUAUGGGGUUCAAAUUCAAGAUCUAGGGACAAAGAGGUACCUUUUUCAGUUUUUUCAUAGUAUGGAUAUGGAGAGAGUCUUAAAGGGCCCACCAAGGACUUUCAAUAAUCAUCUAUUACUGCUCUAUAAUUUGAAGAGGGGGAAAACCCAUUAGAAGUCCCGUUAAUAUUUUCUCCUAUUUGGGUGCAAAUCCAUGAUGUUCCAAUUAGUAUGUUUUCUGAAAUUUAACAAUACGGCUGGGUAAUUUUAUAAGGGCUUUUCUGGAAUAUGAUGGCUCUAACCUGGGGAAAGAAAAUUAAAAUUUCAUGAGAAUACGAGUCUAGAUCGAUGUUAGGCGUCCAUUGAAGAGGAAAAAAUAGAUCAUAUUCUAUGGUAGGUGUUCAUACUUUAAAUUUAAAUAUGAACGUCUAUCACUUUUUUGUUUUUAUUAUGGACGGCUGGGGCAUAGGGACUCUUUUUGUGAAGCAAAAAUGAUGCUUGGAGUAAAAAUUGCUAAGAUGGGCUAGGAUUUGUCUUUGCGAGCACAAUCUCGAAAAGCUUUAUCGAUGAAGAGUAUUUGGUUGCGAGAAUAAGAGGAAAGUAAAUAGGAAGGCCAUGGUAAGGAUACACGAGGCCUAGAGGUUAGAUCAUGGGGGAAAAUAUUAGACAAAAUGGAAACGGUUUGGAUCCAAUGUUGGGAUUGAAUUUAGAAAGGGGAAACAUCUUCAUUUAUCCAAAGAAGGGAUGGAUUUUGGAAAGAUUAGGUGCAAACUGCAAUGGAACAUGAUUCAGAGUAUGGUAUCUUAGAAGGAGAGUAGGGGAAAAAAAGGGCAUUGGGGGGGUGAUGGAAAAUUCAAAUGAAAACGAGAAGAGUUGCAAUGUUAUGGUAAAAAGCAGAUUGGUGGAUUCUAAUUCUUUAUUAUCGGCGUUUGCCAAGAGGCAAGCUGACCGAAUGUAAUGAAAAUCGUAAAUUGGAACGUUCGUAGGUUAAGGAGUUCACGGACGAGUCGAAGACUUCGACAUAUGCUAAAGAAUUACAAUCCCCAAAUAGUGUUCUUAAUAGAGACAAAACUUCAAAAAAGACAGAUGGAACGAGUUCAGAGAAGUUGUGGCUUCAUGAAUGGUAUUGAGGUUGAUUCUGAAGGUACAAUAGGAGGAUUGUGUUUAGCUUGGAGAACGAAUGUCAAUAUUGUACUUUAAAGCUAUUCUAAACGACGUAUUGAUGUGGUAAUUGAAGAUUCUGAGGCAUGAUACAAAUGGAGAUAUACGGGUUUUUACUAAUCCCCUUAUGUACAAGAUAGGAGUGAUUCAUGGGCUAUUUGAAAGGGUUAAAAUCUAAUAUGAACCUCCCUUAGCUUGUUUGUAGAGAUUUUAAUGAAAUUUUGUAUAGCUGUGAAAAAAAAAGAGGUCUGCCAAAAGACGAACGGAGAGUGGAGAUUUUUCGAAGAACUUUAGAAGAGUGCCAAUUGAACGACGUAGGAUAUACUGGUAACUAGUUUACCUAGGAGAGAGGUAACCUACCAGAAACGAAUAUACAAGAAUGUUUGGACAGGGGUGUUGCAAAUUUCAGAUUGGAUUGCUGAAUUCCCAGAGGUGAAAGUUCAACAUCUAGUUCAUUCCUUUUCAUAUCACUGCCCUCUUCUAAUAAGCACAAAAAUAAGUGAAGGAAGGUUACAGAAUAAUUCUUUCAAGUUUGAAGCUUGGUGGUUAUUGGAAGAUUUUUUCUUGGAUCAAGUUAGAGCUUUAUGGGAGAAAUCAAAUGGGGGAUUGCUGUAGAAGCUGGAAAGUUUAAAAAUAGGAUUGAAACAAUGGGCGGAGCAAAUCUAAAUAAAUAGAAAGAAAAAGAAGUUUCCAAUGGAAAAAUUAUCUUUGUUAUCUGAAGCUGAAAGAGAUGAUGAAAACUUAGCCGAGCUGAUUGAUACAAAAAUUGAUUUAAACUUUAAGAUUGAAAAAGAUGAGUGUUAUUGGGAACAAAGGGUUAGGAUUAAUUGGCUAAAAUAUGAGGAUAAGAACACGAAGUUUUUUCACAGUCAAGCUUCACAACGACGGAAGACAAAUUUCAUUCAAAAAUUGCAGACUGAAGAUGGAUGAGAAAUGGAAACAUUACAGGAGAUUGAGGUGGUUGCACGUUCCUAUUUUCAAAAAUUGUUUUCGGAAGAAAUAAGAGGGAAUUAUGACCAUUUGUUAACGGGGAUCGAUCGAUGCAUUACUGAGGAAGAUAAUCAUAGACUUACAGCGCCCUAUAACAGAGAGGGAAUUCGAGAGGCCGUCUUUGAUAUAGGACUUACAAAGGCACCAAGGGAAGAUGGUUUUCUGGCGAUAUUCUACAAAAAAUGUUGGCAUUUUAUUGGCGAAGACAUCACCUUAUUUUGUUUAAACCUCUUGAAUGGUGAAAUGGAGGUUAGUUCUAUAAAUUCCACAAAUAUAGUGCUUAUUCCAAAAACUACUAGCCUUUCAAAUAUGACACAAUUUAGACUGAUUAGUCUUUGCAAUGUAAUUUACAAAAUAUUGGCAAAGGCUAUGGCAAACAGAUUCCGAGUAAUUGAAAAAUGUAUUAGCUGUGCAUAGAGUGCUUUUGUGCUGGGAAAACUAAUUUCAAAUAAUGUGUUACUAGCUUUUGAAAUACUGCAUGAGCUCAAACAAAAGAGAUUGGAAAAAAAAAAGGUUUAUGGCAGUUAAACUCGAUAUGAGCAAAGCAUAAGAUAUGGUGGAGUGAAACUUUUUAAAGGAAAUAAUUAUUAGAAUGAGAUUCGACCAGAAGUGGGUAAAUGCAAUUAUUAAAUGUAUAUCUACAGUAUCUUAUUCUAUGGUCAUUAAUGGUCAUUUUGGAGAGAAAUUUAUACCUACUAGAGGACUUCAACAAGGUGACCCGUUAAGCCCAUUUUUGUUUCUUAUAUGCGAUGAGGGUUUAUCAAGUUUAAUGAGACUUUCUUUGAAUGAAGGUUUUUUCAAAGGUGUCAAGAUUAGCAGGAAUGGGCCACAGGUAACUCAUCUUUUAUUUGUAGAUGACUGCAUAUUAUUCGGGGAGGCAACAUGCAUGAGGCUAAUUUAUUCAAAGAAAUUUUACAUGAAUACAGAUCUUGUUCAGGCCAGAGUGUAGAUUUUGAAAAGUCAACGGUAUUUUUUAAUAGGAACACAACAGAUGAGGACAAAAGGAUGGUUGUUAAUUUAUUGGGAGUCCACAGUUCUAAUGCGCCUGAGCGUUAUUUAGGGCUGCCGAACAUGGUUGGAAGAAAAAAGAAAGAGCCUUUCCAAAAUCUAAAGGAUAGAAUUAAAAAGUGCAUCGACAACUAGGUUUUUAUCGCAGGGAGGAAUAAAAGUAUUUAUAAAGGCUAUCUUACAAGCCAUACCUACUUAUACGAUGGCAUGCUUUCUAUUACCAAAAAUUCUAUAUGAUGAAUUAGAAAAUAUUAUAGCAAACUUUUGGUGGUAAAAAUGUCACAGGAAAAGGGGAAUUCACUAGUGCACAUGGAAAAGCCUUUGUAUUUUAAAAGAAAAUCAAAGUUUAAGGUUCCGUAAUCUUGGUCAAUUCAAUAUUGCAUUGUUAGCCAAACGGGGCUGGCACCUCAUUAAUUUUUCAAAUUCAUUAUUGGCCAGAGUUUUAAAAGUAAAGUAUUAUCCGCAGACGAGUUUUCUAAAUGUUGAGUUGGGAAAUUUACCUUCACUCACCUGGAGAAGCAUUUGGGCAGCUAAGGGCCUUCUUCAGAAUGGAAUGUGUUGGAGAGUGGGUAGAUGGGAUAAGAUAUUGAUUUGGAAUGAUAGUUGGAUCCCGGGAAUUGAGAAACCUGAAGGGCAGAACAAUUCAGACAAUGAGUUAAUAGUGGUGUCGGAUCUUAUUGAUUCCUCAAAUAGGAAAUGGAGAACAGAUAUGAUCAUGAAUACCUUUCAAACGGGUGUUGCUCAAAAAAUCCUACAGAUUCCACUUACAGAGACCGAUCGUGAAGAUUUUCAGGUGUGGAAAGGGGAACAAUAGGGAAAAUGCUCGGUACGUAGUGCCUAUAAACUAUUACAAGAAGCUACUACGGAUCCUAGGAAUUAUUUAGUACAUGCUGAAAUUAAAAACUUUUACAGAAAGCUUUGGAAUUUACAGCUACCCACAAAAAUCACAAUUAUUAUUUGCAGAAUUUCAUGGGAUUUUAUUCCCCAUUUUUCUAAUUUCAGGUAUAGAAGACUCCUUUCCAAUGAUAGAUGUCCCCGCUGCCACUCCGACGUUGAAGAUAGUUGCCACAUAUUUCGUCAAUGUCCUUUAUCAACGGAAGUUUGGACAAAUUUACAGCUUUCCUAGGUCAGUAAUGAUAUGAAUCAAAACAUAUGGGAAUGGCUAACCUGGGUGUUCACGAAAGGUUCUACUGAGCAGUGUCGUCUAUUUUGCUACGCGUUGUGGAUGAUAUGGUCUUCCAGGAACCAACUAGUUCAUGAACAGAAAAUCUCGACCGGAAUAGAUCUAGCAAAAAGUGUGAAGAAACAAAUGGAAGAAUAUGAAGGUGCGCAAGCAGUAAAAGUGCCAUUAAACAUUAACAGGAACUAGAGGAAUCAAGAAGACAUACUGAGAAUACAGAUCCAGUUUGAUGCAGUAUUCAAUAAUACAAACUUUCAGUCAGCGUCUGGUCUGGUGGUUUGGAGUUUGAGGGGAGAAAUACUUGUAUCAAAAUUGACUCUUCACAAUAAUGUUCCGACUCCAUUUGUAGCAGAGGCAUUCGCAUGUCUUGAAGCUUUAAAUUUAGAUAUCUUGAUGGGCAUGAAAUCGGUCGAUAUUAUGGGGGACUCCAAAACAACAAUAAAAAAUGCCAAACAACAUUAACAAACAAAUCAGCCAUUGGAGCAAUCAUCAAAGAUAUCCAGAAUAUAAAAAGGUGUUUUCGUGAGAUUCAUUUCCAGAAUAUUCACAGAUCGGAAAACUCAACUGCUCAAAGACUUGCGAAGACUACGCUAGAAAGAAGAGAGACUGUGUACCUGAUGGGAGAAGGUUGGAGAGACCAAGAGAAUGCUUCAGAGGGACGAUGGGCACAAUGGCCAGAUUGAAUGAAACUUGGUGAAGAAUGUGAUUUCAAAGUAGAUAGCAAUUGAUUCUUUAUCUUCCUUAGGGAGUGCUAUCGGCAGAAAAAGAUGGGAUGGUGAUAAGAAAAGUCGAAUAGUCAUGGGUGCCAACCGUUCUUUGAUUUGACUAGGGUAGGUUUCCUGUUUUCUAAAUUCAGAUUCUUUUUAUUGUUUUUCUUUUUUCAAGUCAGUUUCUAUUUUUUUAAGUAUUUAGGAGGCCUUAUCAGUAAAGACAAAAUUGAGGCCAGAUAUUAUUUUGAGUUUUAUUGUAGUUGGGUCUGAGCCCAGUUGGUUAACGGGCUUUAUACUCUUUUAUAAUUUCAAAUAAAAUGCC
This 5736-nucleotide long non-coding RNA is filed under the name Gossypium barbadense (sea-island cotton). RNAcentral describes it as "long non-coding RNA (GBAR_LNC008301)". Lineage: Eukaryota; Viridiplantae; Streptophyta; Magnoliopsida; Malvales; Malvaceae. The record is from RNAcentral.